CCUACGGGAGGCAGCAGUGGGGAAUAUUGCGCAAUGGGCGAAAGCCUGACGCAGCGACGCCGCGUGAGGGAUGAAGGUCUUCGGAUCGUUAACCUCUGUCAGCAGGGAAGAACGGUCACUGUGCUAAUCAGCAGUGAAUUGACUGUACCUGCAAAGGAAGCACCGGCUAACUCCGUGCCAGCAGCCGCGGUAAUACGGAGGGUGCGAGCGUUAAUCGGAAUUAUUGGGCGUAAAGCGCUCGUAGGCGGUAUGUCAAGUCAAAGGUGAAAUCCCCGCGCUCAACGUGGGAACUGCCUUUGAAACUGGUAAACUGGAGAGUGUGAGAGGAUGGUGGAAUUCAAGGUGUAGGAGUGAAAUCCGUAGAGAUC
Molecule: ribosomal RNA, 368 nt
Filed under: uncultured bacterium
Lineage: Bacteria
Description: partial 16S ribosomal RNA
Rfam family: Bacterial small subunit ribosomal RNA
Source: RNAcentral